This 20-nucleotide unclassified non-coding RNA is filed under the name Mus musculus (house mouse). RNAcentral describes it as "oocyte_clustered_small_RNA9240". The record is from RNAcentral. Lineage: Eukaryota; Metazoa; Chordata; Mammalia; Rodentia; Muridae.
UCUGGAGUGGUAGGGAUGGA